This 752-nucleotide long non-coding RNA is filed under the name Rattus norvegicus (Norway rat). RNAcentral's name for it is "long non-coding RNA NONRATT011511". The record is from RNAcentral. Lineage: Eukaryota; Metazoa; Chordata; Mammalia; Rodentia; Muridae.
AAGACGCUCUUCCUUCCUCCAGCUUAUGAGAAGACAGACUUCUUCUCAACCAAAUCAUGCCAUUUCUCAAGAGGUUCUGCCGUCCUCAUCCUCCCGGAGUCCCACCCUCCCAGGAGAGAAACAGUGGAGAAUGGAUAUUCAUAAGACGAGACCACCCUUGUUCACUUGGAAACAGCUGGGCCACCAAGACAGAACCCAUACAUAGCUUGAGGCAGCUGCCCACGUCUGUGAUCUUAGCGCCCCCUACCGGGAGACGGAAGGCAAAGGCAUGAAGACGUUCAUGGGCCUCUCGGCUUAGCCUACGAAGCAGGGAGCAUGAAGACUUCAUUUCAAAGGAGGUAACAAGCAAGAACUGACACCCAAGAUUGUCCUCUGACCACAUCGAUGUGUCUACGCAGCUCGCACAACGGCAGGUGCGCCCAUGCGAGCACGCAAACAAACGCAUAAGACUUUAAAAAAAAACUUUUUGAAUGAUAGAUUAUACACACUCACCCAACUUACUAAUACAGAAGCAGUUUUAUCUGGAUUUAGCUUGGGAAAGUCUGGCUAAAAUCAGGUGUACCACAACCCCAUCCCCUUUACUAGUCUGCUUGUGGUCUAAUCCUAUAGUCCUUAUUUUCUAAGGGGGGGGGGUCUCAGGUUAAUCUAGUUUCAUUGUUUUCCAAUGAAAUUCUGUGGCAUCCUGGAAAACACACGUAUUUACUAUAAUGUUCUUCAAGGUUCAUUACACAAAUAAACUCGAGGGUGAGAAG